GCGGACGUGGCGGAACAGGUAGACGCAUCGGCCUUAAAAGCCGCUGACCCCAGGUCGUGCGGGUUCGAGUCCCGCCGUCCGCA
Molecule: transfer RNA, 83 nt
Filed under: Caulobacter sp.
Lineage: Bacteria; Pseudomonadati; Pseudomonadota; Alphaproteobacteria; Caulobacterales; Caulobacteraceae
Description: tRNA-Leu
Rfam family: tRNA
About the family: Transfer RNA (tRNA) molecules are approximately 80 nucleotides in length. Their secondary structure includes four short double-helical elements and three loops (D, anti-codon, and T loops). Further hydrogen bonds mediate the characteristic L-shaped molecular structure. tRNAs have two regions of fundamental functional importance: the anti-codon, which is responsible for specific mRNA codon recognition, and the 3' end, to which the tRNAs corresponding amino acid is attached (by aminoacyl-tRNA synthetases). tRNAs cope with the degeneracy of the genetic code in two manners: having more than one tRNA (with a specific anti-codon) for a particular amino acid; and 'wobble' base-pairing, i.e. permitting non-standard base-pairing at the 3rd anti-codon position.
Source: RNAcentral